This is a long non-coding RNA of Rhineura floridana, 271 nucleotides long. RefSeq lists it as uncharacterized. The transcript has 3 exons. The record is from RefSeq and is a predicted model, not a curated record. NCBI's taxonomy places the organism in Eukaryota, Metazoa, Chordata, Lepidosauria, Squamata, Rhineuridae.
AGGGAAGCAACUGAUCAGAGAAGCAGAAGGUUAUAAAGAGAUGAACUCAUUUGUUUCCUGAGAAGUUUACACCACAAAGGAAAAAGCGAUAUACUACAGCCACGGAAUUUACUGGUCUCUUGUACUGAAAAGCUGCUAACAAUUGCCUCACAGUGAGAAUCUGAGAGGCAAAACGCAACAUGUGUAACUCCUGAUUUCUUCACUAUGGAACUAAAGAGACCACUAGCAAAUUAACGGAAGUACGCUAGAACCUGCAAACCUUUUCAGAAGU